CAGCAGCCACGGUAAUACGUAGGUGGUAAGCGUUGUCCGGAAUUAUUGGGCGUAAAGGGCUCGCAGGCGGUUUCUUAAGUCUGAUGUGAAAGCCCCCGGCUCAACCGGGGAGGGUCAUUGGAAACUGGGAAACUUGAGUGCAGAAGAGGAGAGUGGAAUUCCACGUGUAGCGGUGAAAUGCGUAGAGAUGUGGAGGAACACCAGUGGCGAAGGCGACUCUCUGGUCUGUAACUGACGCUGAGGAGCGAAAGCGUGGGGAGCGAACAGGAUUAGAUACCCCUGUAGUCCCUGUCUCUUAUAC
This 301-nucleotide ribosomal RNA is filed under the name uncultured bacterium. RNAcentral describes it as "partial 16S ribosomal RNA". It matches the Rfam family "Bacterial small subunit ribosomal RNA", at positions 509 to 807 of the family's 1533-position model. The record is from RNAcentral.